This 4755-nucleotide long non-coding RNA is filed under the name Taeniopygia guttata (zebra finch). RNAcentral's name for it is "lncRNA (ENSTGUG00000026416.1)". Lineage: Eukaryota; Metazoa; Chordata; Aves; Passeriformes; Estrildidae. The record is from RNAcentral.
CCCCAGCCCAAAGGAACGCCCCAGGAACUGGAGCUCCCACCCUGUCACUCCCCAGGUGACCAGCAAGUUCCCAAGCUCUGCUCUCAUGGAGGCAGGACACCAAGUGCUGCAGCCUCACCUGCCUGUGCCACACCUGGCUAGAGAUCACCCCAAUCCUGCUGGAGCAGCUGAGCCUCCUGCGGCCUCUGCAGCACCAAGUGCAAGGGGAAGGAUGCAGCUCCCUGCUUCUCCAGCUGUGAGAAGGAAGGCUGGUUCCUCCAUCCUGCUGCCAGAUUGUGCUCCACACUGGGGCACAAGGCAGAUUCACCCCCAGGAGGGUGACACUGAGGGGGACAGGGUGCUUAGGUGGAGUCAGAGAGAACCGACUCAUUAUCCAAACACACCCCAUCCUAAGGCUGGGAGCUCCUGUGCACCCCACAGGGGUUUAUCCCCUCAGAGUGAGCAGUAGUAAAUCUGGAGUUCUCCCUGAAGAGUUGCAGAGAGGGAGAUGAAGUCUGUUGUGAAGAAAAAUAACUCCCUACAAGAUGAGAACCCACAUGUGGCUGCAAUUUAGGAAGCACUGUCCUGAAGUCCACCUUCUCCUGGGUUUUGCCAGUGGAUCCACAUCAGAUUCUGACCACCCAGCUCCUGCCACCCCAGCACUGCUGCUCCAAGGGGCACUCUGUCAGCGCCAGAUGCCAGCUGAGGAUCCACGCUGCUCCCACAGGGUGCAGGUGUCCCUCCUGCAUGCUGGCCUGCGGUGGGAGCGGUUUGGUAGCGCGGGUGCUGGGCACAAGUCAGGUAUAUGGUCUGUGAGAAACACCUGACAGAGGAGGACCUGGGUCAGUACUUUCCAAGGAAGCCUCAGAGGAGCAAUGCUGGAAGCACAGAGUGCUGGGGCAGCAGGGCUGGAAGGCUCACAGAGCUGUGGGACAAUGAGGACAAAUCCCCAGCCCCAAGGAUGGGGCAGGCUUACCCCUAGCCUGGCACUGGGCUGGAGGAAGAGGAGGGUGAGGAAGGCUGGUCCCAAACCUGGGGAGCAGAGCCAGCAGCUUCCAGGUCCUGUGUCCUUGGCCCACUUCUAGCACGAGGCAGGAGGAGUGAUCAUCUCACCCUUCUCCUUCCCACAUGCUGGGAGCGGCUGCUGUUACUCCUGGCCAUCGAUGAUGUUUGUGGUGUCAGAGGAGCCUCUGCUGAGGGCUGGCCCAUGAAAUAUGCAUGGCAUGGCCUCUCCUUCUAACUGCACCUCCUCCCGUGCCAAAUUCCCUCCUCAACUAUUUGUCUCACAUUCAAAUGUUUCUUCACAUUUAACGGCUUCCCAAGCCCUCCAUAACAGCUUCUCCUGGAUUUAUUCCCAUUGCUGCCACAAUGAGUGGCCGAGGAAGGACUUGGCUGCGUGUUACCCAGCCUCAGCCAUGCUCCUCGUGCGGGAUGCAGCAGCAUGGCUGUGUCUGUGAUGCGUGCUCCAGCCAUGGGCUGCACUGAGCUCCCCACGCCAGCUGCAGCCACCGGGAGCAGGGACCAGCCCCUCUGUGCCAGCAGCCCCUGCCUGCCCAUGCUGGGAACAGGGACAGUGGCCUCAAAGGCAUGAUGUCACACCCAAGGGAGACUGGGAGCUGGGGGAUCAGCACUCUGCAAGGCCACGGUGAUCCACAAGGGCUUGGUACAGUCCCCACGGCAGCCUGGGGCAUCCCUUGUUGGUCUCCCUGCCACUGGCAGGGCUGCCAGCUCGAGGAUUUUCUCUGCUUCAAGUACCACCAUCCUGAGAGAAACCUCAUCAGAUUUCACUUCCAUCAAAAGCGGCUUUUUAACAUUUCAUCUCUGAGUUUGGGUCUGAGACUAAAGUUUCUUCAGAAACUCAGACCUGGUUCUGCACCCAGCUGGAUGCUGCAGGGCUGCAGCUCUGCUGGCACAGCAGGCAGCACUUGGAAGCUUUCCCUGCUAAGACCAGGCAAGUGUUUCCCAGGGGUGAUUGGUGCCAUUAGAGCCUUCAAAGGGAAUUUUCUCUGUGGCAGUUGGCGGAGAAACAAGGUUUGAACAGCAUCCCAAGAAUUCGUAUGUGCAGUCUCAUCAUGGCGAGGAACUUUGGGUAAAUUAUUAUUAUCUCUAAAUGGCACAAAAGAGUUAGCACAGGGAAUGUUUUGAAGGAAGUGGAUGCUUUGCCAGAGCUUUGUACCCAGCUCUGUCAGAGGCAAUGCCACUGCCUGGCUGUCUCCGUGGAAGGACAAGAUGUUCCCAAAAAAACCUUACAAAUGAGCUCAGGGGAUCCCCGUGGUUUCACUGCCGGUUACAGCAAUGUCAGUGUUGGGGAGGCAGGGAAAACAAUUGCAGGAACUAAUUUUCCCGUGUCCUGCAUGCGCUGAGCAUUCCCAGCACAAGAUGUCACUGAGGAGCUGGAUUUGGACAGCCCUGCAUCAGCCCGGAGUCAUCCCCCGGGAGCCACAGGAAACGGGGCUGGAGAGGUGGGCAUGGAGAAGGAACAUGGUCACAGAGAGAGGACGUGGGCACAGAGAAGGGACACCGGCACAGAAUCACAGAAUCACAGAAUAAUGAGGUUGGAAGAGACCUCUAAGAUCAUCAAGUCCAACCGAUGCCCUAACACCACAACUAGACUAUAGCACCAAGUGCCAAGUCCAGUCUUUUUUUAAACAUAUCCAGAGAUGGUGACUCCACCACCUCCCUGGGCAGACCAUUCCAGUACUUUAUUAUUCUUUUGGUGAAAAUUUUUUCCUAAUAUCCAACCUAAACCUUUCCUGACGUAGCUUGAGACUGUGUCCUCUUGUUCUGUCAGUGCUGACUGGGGGAAGAGACCGACCCCCACCUGUCUGCAGCUCCCUUCAGGGAGUUGUAGAGAGCAAUAAGGUCACCUCUAAGCCUCCUCUUCUCCAGGCUAAACAAUCCCAGUUCCUUCAAACGUUCCUCACAGGGUUUGUGUUCCCAGCCCCUCUCCAGCCUCGUUGCCUCCUCUGGAUGCGCUCGGGUGUCUCAACGUCCAUCCCAAACUGAGGGGCCAGAACUGGACACAGCACUCAAGGUGUGGCCUCACCAGUGCCGAGUACAGGGGAAGGAUGACCCCCCCUAGUUCUGCUGGUCACACCAUUGCUGAUACAGGCCAGGAGCCAUUGGCCUUUUUGGCCACCAGGGCACACUGCUGGCUCAUGUUUAGUUGGCUGUCGACCAGUGCCCCCAGGUCCCUUUCUGCCUGGACACUGUCCAGCCUGUAAUGUUGCAGGGGGUUAUUGUGGCCAAAAUGCAGGACUCAACACUUGGAUUUAUUAAACAUCAUCUUAUUGGACUCUGCCCGUCCCUCCAACUGAUCUAAGUCUCUCUGCAGAGCCCUCCUACCUUCCAACAGAUGGACACACGCUCCCAGCUUAGUGUCAUCUGCAGAUUUACUAAUGAAGGACUCGAUGCCCUCAUCCAUGUGGUCAAUAAAAACAUGGAACAGAGCUGGCCCAGCACAGAGCCCUGAGGGACACCACUGGUGCCUGUCCCCAGCUGGAUGCAGCACUGCUCACCACUCUCUGGGCCGGCCAUGCAGCCAGUUCUGAGCCCAGCACAGAGCGCUCCUGGCCCAGCCGUGGGCUGCAGCUUUUCCAGGAGUGCUGUGGGAAACAGUGCCAAAGGCCUUGCUGGAGUCCAGACACAUCCACAGCCUGUCCCGCAUCCACCGGAGGCUCACCUGGUCAUGAAAGGAGACCAGGUUGGUCAAACACGACCUACCCCUCCUAAACCCCUGCUGGCUGGGUCUGAUACCCUGGCCAUCCUUAAGUGCUGUGUGACAGCACUAAGUAUGAACUGUUCCAUUAUCUUACCUGGUACUGAGGUCAGGCUAACUGGCCUGUAAUUAGCAGGAUCCUCCUUCCUACCUUUUUUGUAAAUGGGUGUCACAUUGGCCAGUUUCCAAUAGUCUGGGACCUCACCAGUGAGCCACGACUCCUGAUAAAUGAUGGAGAGCAGCUUCGCAAGCACAUCUGCCAGCUCCCUCAUCACCCUGGGGUGGAUUCCAUCUGGUCCCAUUGAUUUAUAAAUAUCCAAGUGUCCCAGUAGUUCUCUGACUGCCUCUUCUUGGAUAACAAGAGGACCAUUCUGCUCCCUGGCAUCACCUACCAACCCCUGAGGACAGUUGUCUUGAGGACAAGCUGUCUUACCACUAAAGAAUGAGGCGAAGAUAGCAUUAAGCAUUUUUGCCUUUUCCUCAUCUUUAGUUACUAGGUUGCCUGCCACAUCCACUAAGGAACAGAGAUCGGUUAUACCCUUCCUUUUACUAUUCAUAUAUUUGUAAAAACUUUUUUUUUAUUUUUAACAGAAGUUGCCAAGUUGAGUUCAAACUGGCCUCCCUGAUGUAUGAACAUAUGCAGCUGUGAUGCAGCUGUGAAACAAUCCUGCAAGGCCAAGACUCAGGAGAUUCCUGGACAUGGGGUGUCAGGGAUGUGCUCAGCAAUCUCUGGAGCUCAGCACUGGGUGUGUCAGGAGGAACAGCUCAGACAAACGCCUCCCAGGAGCAGGACAGGAACUUGUCCUGCCUGGGAAGAUCCCAAGGUCCUGCCAGCCCUCUCCAGUGCUCCGCAGAGCUCAACAGCCCCAGCCCAUGACAAGGGAGCUAAGUCUGCUGCCUCAAGUAACCCAAGCACCCAUGGACCCCACCAAAUGAGUGAGGAUUCAGCUGAAACCCCUAAAAUGUUCACAAACACAUCAGGAGGAUAGAAGUACAGGGUCUUGAAACAUCUCUCCCAUAACAGGUCCUGCAGGUCUGAGAUCCUUCUCCAAGUGUUU